Molecule: ribosomal RNA, 429 nt
Filed under: Rhogadopsis obliqua
Lineage: Eukaryota; Metazoa; Arthropoda; Insecta; Hymenoptera; Braconidae
Description: partial 16S ribosomal RNA
Source: RNAcentral
GUCUUAAAGAUAUUAAUUUUAAGUCAAAUCUGCCCAAUGAAAUUUAAUUUUAAAUGGCUGCAAAAUAAAUAAUUGUACAAAGGUAGCAUAAUAAUUUGUUUUUUAAUUAAAAACUAGAAUGAAUGAUUUAAUGAAAUAUAAACUUUAUAAAUUAAAAUAAAUUUAAUUUUUUAUUUAAGUAAAAAAACUUAAAUAAUUUAAAAAGACGACAAGACCCUAUAGAAUUUUAUUUAUAAUUUAAUUUAAUUAAUUUUAAUUAAAAUUAAAAUAUAAAUUUUAUUGGGGUAAUUAAAAAAUUAAAUAAAUUUUUUUAAUAAUAAAACAAAAAUUAUUGAAUAAUAUAUCUUAAAAUUUAAAUUAUUAAAAUUAAUUACCUUAGGGAUAACAGCAUAAUUUUUUUUAAAAGAUCUUAUUAAUAAAAAAGAUUAU